This 465-nucleotide ribosomal RNA is filed under the name uncultured bacterium. RNAcentral describes it as "partial 16S ribosomal RNA". It matches the Rfam family "Bacterial small subunit ribosomal RNA", at positions 28 to 506 of the family's 1533-position model. The record is from RNAcentral.
GAUGAACGCUGGCGGCGUGCUUAACACAUGCAAGUCGAACGGAAAGGCUCCUGCCUGCAGGGGUACUCGAGUGGCGAACGGGUGAGUAACACGUGGGUGAUCUGCCCUGUACUUCGGGAUAAGCCUGGGAAACUGGGUCUAAUACCGGAUAUGACAAUCUCUUGGAUGGGGUUGUGGAAAGCUUUUGCGGUAUGGGAUGAGCUCGCGGCCUAUCAGCUUGUUGGUGGGGUAAUGGCCUACCAAGGCGUCGACGGGUAGCCGGCCUGAGAGGGUGUACGGCCACAUUGGGACUGAGAUACGGCCCAGACGCCUACGGGAGGCAGCAGUGGGGAAUAUUGCACAAUGGGCGCAAGCCUGAUGCAGCGACGCCGCGUGGGGGAUGACGGCCUUCGGGUUGUAAACUCCUUUCGCAACCGACGAAGCUUUUGUGACGGUAGGUUGAGAAGAAGCACCGGCUAACUACGU